ACAGCAGCAGCCGCGGGAAUACAGAGGGUGCAAGCGUUAAUCGGAAUUACUGGGCGUAAAGCGUGCGUAGGCGGCUUUUUAAGUCGGAUGUGAAAUCCCUGAGCUUAACUUAGGAAUUGCAUUCGAUACUGGGAAGCUAGAGUAUGGGAGAGGAUGGUAGAAUUCCAGGUGUAGCGGUGAAAUGCGUAGAGAUCUGGAGGAAUACCGAUGGCGAAGGCAGCCAUCUGGCCUAAUACUGACGCUGAGGUACGAAAGCAUGGGGAGCAAACAGGAUUAGAUACCCCGGUAGUCCCUGUCUCUUAUAC
RNAcentral lists this ribosomal RNA (305 nucleotides) under uncultured bacterium. RNAcentral describes it as "partial 16S ribosomal RNA". It matches the Rfam family "Bacterial small subunit ribosomal RNA", at positions 505 to 807 of the family's 1533-position model. The record is from RNAcentral.